UACUUAUUAUCUCACAGCCUGUGACAGAUCUUGGGGUAUAAUUGAAAAGAAUAUGCUAUUUCUGUUUCAAAGAUAUAUUGGUCUUGGGUGAAUGCAUCAGUUAUCUUCAGCAACACCAAUGCUGCAUAACAGACAGAGACAGAACACAAGCAGGGGAGGGGCAGAGAGAGACACACACAGAAUCUGAAGCAGGCUCCAGGCUCUGAGCUGUCAGGACAGAGCCUGUGGCACGGCUUGAACCCACGAACUGCAAGUUGGACGCUUAACGGUCUGAGCCAUUCAGGCACCCCAAAAGUUGGUGACCAGUACUGAACCAGAGUCAAGUGGACUAGUGCAAAAUGGGAAGAACUGUGUCACUGCCAAAGAACACUGAACAAAAGUCUGCUGCCUCUUUAUAGAUCAUGGUCCAAGAAGGAAGGGCUAAGAGUAGAAAGGUACAGAGUCCUGAUGGAGAAGACUGCCUCAGCCAAGGCCCCCAUAAUGAAGCCUCUGAAUGGAGGCACCUGUAUCAAAAAUGCAAAGAUACUGGGCAUGGUGGGCCCAGGGGUACCUGAGUCCUUGAUGCAACUCCCUCCAGAAAACUUCAGUGCACUGGCUGUGCACCAAGUCUGGUGUGGGGAGGGCAGUACCCCCACUAUAAGGCCUGCCUAGCUAAGCAAAGCUUUCCAAUUUCCAGUGGCCAUGCCCGAAAGAUCACACCUAGGAUUUUGGCCUAAAGCCAGACUCCUCACACCCAUGUUGUUUCACGUCUCAGGAUCUUAUUCCUCUACAUCACUGAGUAAUGUUCCAAUGUCUGAAUAUAUCUCAAUGUUGUUUAUCAAUUUUUUUGUUGGAAGGCAGUUGUAGCUGUCUCCAGUUUGGACA
Long non-coding RNA from Acinonyx jubatus (cheetah), 864 nucleotides. RefSeq lists it as uncharacterized. The record is from RefSeq and is a predicted model, not a curated record. The transcript is spliced from 3 exons. NCBI's taxonomy places the organism in Eukaryota, Metazoa, Chordata, Mammalia, Carnivora, Felidae.